GAGGGUAUAGCUCAACUGGUAAGAGUGCAUGCCUAGUCACGCACAAGGUCCUGGGUUCAAUCCCCAGUACCUCCU
Transfer RNA from Camelus ferus (Wild Bactrian camel), 75 nucleotides. It matches the Rfam family "tRNA". From Rfam's summary of the family: Transfer RNA (tRNA) molecules are approximately 80 nucleotides in length. Lineage: Eukaryota; Metazoa; Chordata; Mammalia; Artiodactyla; Camelidae. The record is from Rfam.